UACAGAGGGUGCAAGCGUUAAUCGGAAUUACUGGGCGUAAAGCGUGCGCAGGCGGUUCGCCAAGUCAGGUGUGAAAUCCCCGGGCUUAACCUGGGAAUUGCGCUUGAAACUAGCGAGCUUGAGUGUGGCAGAGGGGGGUGGAAUUCCACGUGUAGCAGUGAAAUGCGUAGAGAUGUGGAGGAACACCGAUGGCGAAGGCAGCCCCCUGGGUCAACACCGACGCUCAUGCACGAAAGCGUGGGGAGCAAACAGG
RNAcentral lists this ribosomal RNA (253 nucleotides) under uncultured bacterium. RNAcentral's name for it is "partial 16S ribosomal RNA". It matches the Rfam family "Bacterial small subunit ribosomal RNA", at positions 524 to 776 of the family's 1533-position model. The record is from RNAcentral.